AGGCUGCAGUGCAGUGGUGCGAUCUCGGCUCACUGCAAGCUCCGCCUCCCAGGUUCAUGCCGUUCUCCUGCCUCAGCCUCCCAAGUGGCUGGGACUACAGGCGCCCGCCACCACGCCUGGCUAAUUUUUUGUGUUUUUAGUAGAGGCGGAGUUUCACCGUGUUAGCCAGAAUGGUCUCGAUCUCCUGACCUCGUGAUCCGCCAGCCUCGGCCUCCCAAAGUGCUGGGA
RNAcentral lists this long non-coding RNA (228 nucleotides) under Homo sapiens (human). RNAcentral's name for it is "HSALNT0398025". The record is from RNAcentral. Lineage: Eukaryota; Metazoa; Chordata; Mammalia; Primates; Hominidae.